Molecule: ribosomal RNA, 497 nt
Filed under: uncultured bacterium
Lineage: Bacteria
Description: partial 16S ribosomal RNA
Rfam family: Bacterial small subunit ribosomal RNA
Source: RNAcentral
GAUGAACGCUGGCGGCGUGCUUAACACAUGCAAGUCGAACGAAGCACUUUGAUCGAUUUCUUCGGAUUGAAAUUUUAGUGACUGAGUGGCGGACGGGUGAGUAACGCGUGGGUAACCUGCCUCACACAGGGGGAUAACAGUUGGAAACGGCUGCUAUUACCGCAUAAGCGCACAGUACCGCAUGGUACGGUGUGAAAAACUCCGGUGGUGUGAGAUGGACCCGCGUCUGAUUAGCUAGUUGGCAGGGCAACGGCCUACCAAGGCGACGAUCAGUAGCCGACCUGCGAGGGUGACCGGCCACAUUGGGACUGAGACACGGCCCAAACUCCUACGGGAGGCAGCAGUGGGGAAUAUUGCACAAUGGGGGAAACCCUGAUGCAGCGACGCCGCGUGAGCGAAGAAGUAUUUCGGUAUGUAAAGCUCUAUCAGCAGGGAAGAAGAAAUGACGGUACCUGACUAAGAAGCACCGGCUAAAUACGUGCCAGCCGCCGCAGUAA